RNAcentral lists this ribosomal RNA (468 nucleotides) under uncultured bacterium. RNAcentral describes it as "partial 16S ribosomal RNA". It matches the Rfam family "Bacterial small subunit ribosomal RNA", at positions 28 to 507 of the family's 1533-position model. The record is from RNAcentral.
GACGAACGCUGGCGGCGUGCUUAACACAUGCAAGUCGAACGGACAGGCCCUGCUUUUGCGCGGUGCUCGAGUGGCGCACGGGUGUGUAACACGCGAGUAACCCGCCCCUGUCUUUGGGAUAACUUCUGGAAACUGGGGCUAUUACCGGAUAGGAGCUCUUGCUGCAUGGUGGGGGUUGGUAAGUUUCGGCGGUUUGGGAUAGACUCGAGGCUUCUCCGCUUGAUGGUGGAGUAGUGGAUUACCAAGGCUGUGACGGGUAGCCGGCCUGAGAGCGGGGACGGGCACAAUAGUACUAAGAUAGGGCCCAGACGGCUACGGGACGCAGCAGUGGAGAGUAUUGCGCAGUGGGGGGAAGCCAGAGGCAAAGGUGCCGCGAGCGGGAUAACGUGCUACGAGUUAAAAACCGCUGUCGCCGGAAACAAGGAGUGAGUGACGGUAAUUAGUAAAGAAGCACCGGCUAACUACGUG